GUGUGUGGGGGAGGCAGAGACGCCAUUACCAGGAGACGGCUCAUACACGCCGUGACGAGCACCGAGCAAAUUGGGCGAUUACGCCUCACCUAGUUGUUAAUGGCCGUUUAGACGUGCAUGUUGUGCAACAUGUUGCGGCCCAUGCUUACCCUGGAGUAUGCCAGUAGUGUGCUUCUACCUGUUUCUCUACUGUCUGGCCGGAGUAUAGUGGCAGUAGAGAGAGGAGUUGAUGGACGGGUUAGAGGCGUCACUAAUACAAGUGACGUGACUGUCGUGGCAGCGUUCAACAAGGUAGUUAGGACUCCAGGGUGAUGACUGGACCUGGCCACACCUCUGGACGCACUGUGACGGACUCGAGGACUGGCAGCAGCCUAGCGGACUCCAUCCGAUGAGGAUGAUGACUGGUGUGAUGGUGGCGGUGUGCGGCUGCCUGCCCUUCCUCCUCCUCCUCACUCCGGCUACAAUGUUGCUGACGCCAGGUCUGGACGAGUCUCCCGCAGUGGACUUGGUCAACGUGGCCAGCAGUGUUGUCAACGCUGUGCUGAGAGCUUCCUCGAGUUCGGAAUGCAGCGUCAUCCUGUUGCUUGAUCCACACUCCACACUCUCU
Non-coding RNA from Procambarus clarkii (red swamp crayfish), 607 nucleotides. The record is from RefSeq and is a predicted model, not a curated record. NCBI's taxonomy places the organism in Eukaryota, Metazoa, Arthropoda, Malacostraca, Decapoda, Cambaridae.